UGGGGAAUAUUGCACAAUGGGGGAAACCCUGAUGCAGCAACGCCGCGUGAAGGAUGACGGUUUUCGGAUUGUAAACUUCUUUUCUUAGUGACGAAGACAGUGACGGUAGCUAAGGAAUAAGCAUCGGCUAACUACGUGCCAGCAGCCGCGGUAAUACGUAGGAUGCAAGCGUUAUCCGGAUUUACUGGGUGUAAAGGGAGCGCAGGCGGGACUGCAAGUUGGAUGUGAAAUACCGUGGCUUAACCACGGAACUGCAUCCAAAACUGUAGUUCUUGAGUGAAGUAGAGGCAAGCGGAAUUCCGAGUGUAGCGGUGAAAUGCGUAGAUAUUCGGAGGAACACCAGUGGCGAAGGCGGCUUGCUGGGCUUUAACUGACGCUGAGGCUCGAAAGUGUGGGGAGCAAACAGGAUUAGAUACCCUGGUAGUCCACACUGUAAACGAUGAUAGCUAGGUGUGGGGGGUCUGACCCCUUCCGUGCCGGAGUUAACGCAAUAAGCUAUCCACCUGGGGAGUACGACCGCAAGGUUGAAACUCAAAGGAAUUGACGGGGGCCCGCACAAGCAGUGGAUUAUGUGGUUUAAUUCGAAGCAACGCGAAGAACCUUACCUGAUCUUGACAUCCCGAUGACCGCUUCGUAAUGGAAGCUUUUCUUCGGAACAUCGGUGACAGGUGGUGCAUGGUUGUCGUCAGCUCGUGUCGUGAGAUGUUGGGUUAAGUCCCGCAACGAGCGCAACCCUUAUCUUCAGUAGCCAGCAUUUAGGAUGGGCACUCUGGAGAGACUGCCAGGGAUAACCUGGAGGAAGGUGGGGAUGACGUCAAAUCAUCAUGCCCCUUAUGACCAGGGCUACACACGUGCUACAAUGGCGUAAACAAAGGGAAGCAGAGCCGCGAGGCCGAGCAAAUCUCAAAAAUAACGUCUCAGUUCGGAUUGUAGUCUGCAACUCGACUACAUGAAGCUGGAAUCGCUAGUAAUCGUGGAUCAGCAUGCCACGGUGAAUACGUUCCC
Molecule: ribosomal RNA, 1005 nt
Filed under: uncultured bacterium
Lineage: Bacteria
Description: bacterial SSU rRNA
Rfam family: Bacterial small subunit ribosomal RNA
Source: RNAcentral